This 700-nucleotide non-coding RNA is filed under the name Pan troglodytes (chimpanzee). The record is from RNAcentral. Lineage: Eukaryota; Metazoa; Chordata; Mammalia; Primates; Hominidae.
GUCUGGGAACGGCUGGUUUCGCGGUCAGACGCCGAGGGCCCUCGAAGUCCCUAGCAACGGCUGCGGAGAGAGAUUCCACCUAGGUCCGUGCAGGUUACAAAUGGCAACCAGAACAGGGACUCCAAGCACGCCCAACUAGCAGCAUCCAAUCAUGGGACUUCAAAGACGUGAAUGAAGAAGGUCUGCUGGAGCAGAGGAACUGAAACUGACUAGGCGAAAGGGGACCCGGGGAAGAGUCUGCCGGCAGCAGAUAUAAGUCUGUAAAAUCGGAUGGACCGCCAAUCGGAGAAUGAGAGCUGCCCAGCCUGGUCUUACAUUCUUUCAAUUAAUACAUAAACAGAAAGGGGGAUAUGCAGGGAGCCGAAGGCCCAUGGGACGUGACCAACUCAGCAUUCCACUGGAGGCUAUAUGAUCAAACAGCAAACUGUUUAUCAUGAAUACAGGAUGUGGGCAAACUCAGGACUGCUCCUGCCAACAUAAGGUUUGCUGGAGGCAAUCACUCCCUGGCACGGAGGUUAUCUACUGCGACAUCUAGAGAAUGCAGUCCUGCAAGCCUACUCUGAACUGAGCAGCUGACCCCUUCUUCCACCCCCCCCCACCCUCCUAUCUCUUUUGCCUAAUAAAUACGGAGGGCUGUGUAAAGCUCAGGGCCCUUGUCCACUAGAGGCAAGGUGCUCCCUGACCCCUUCUCCCAAAUAUA